AGUCUACUCAUAAUGCCAACAAUGGAUGCCUUGGAGGUUUUGGCCUAGGAAGGACGCAAAGGCUGCGAUACUCGUCGGGUAGGUGCCUAACACCUUUGAUCCGGCGGUUUCCGAAUGGGGCAACCCGUCCCGCUUUGCGGGACAACCUAACCACAAAAAUAGCUCCGCAAGGAAUUAUAUAGUGAUUGGGUAGGGCACGGCGUGAACCGAAACAUCCUAGUAGCGCCAGGAAAAUAAAUCAGUAAUGAGAUUCCCUUAGUAGCGGCGAGCGAAGAGGGAAGAGUCUAAACCACGCUCAAUUAUAUGAGUGUGGGGUUGUAGGGCAGACGAUAUUCGAUGUGCUGAAGAUAACAGAAUAAUCCGGAAUGGUUACCCAAAGAGAGUGAAAGGCUCGUAUGUGAAAUCCAAAGCACCGAUAGUUUGUACCUAAGUACCAUGGGGUACGAUAAAACCCUGUGGGAAUCUGGGACGUCCACGUUCCAAGACUAAAUACCAAAACCUACCGAUAGUGAACUAGUACCGUGAGGGAAAGGUGAAAAGCACCCCGGGAGGGGAAUGAAAUAGACCUGAAAUUGUUGGCUGACAAGCAGACGAAGUCCUUCAGCUUCGCAAGAAGCUUCAGGAUAACGUCGUGCCUAUUGAAGAAUGAACCUGUGAGUUAUUCCGAUGUACAUUUAGCCUAAAUCAGUUAUCUGAUGGAGGCGUAGUGAAAGCGAUCCCUAAUUGGGAUAUUUAGCGCAUCGGAAUAGACCCGAAACCGGGUGAGCUAACCUUGGGCAGGGUGAGUCCCGCGUAAAUGCGGGAGGAAGCCCGAACUCGUAUCCGUAGCAAUGGGUUGAGAUGACCUGAGGUUAGGGGCAAUAUGCCAAUCGAACCCGGAGAUAGCUGGUUCUCCCCGAAAUAUAUUUAGGUAUAGCGGGAUGAUAAGUGGUUUAGAGGUAGAGCACUAAAUCGAUCUUGCGACGCAAGUCGUGAAAUCGAAUUAAACUCCGAAUACUAAACUUUAGUUUCAUCCUAGUCAGACUGUUCGGGCUAAGCUGAUCAGUCGAGAGGGAAACAGCCCAGACUCUCAUCUAAGGUCUCUAAAUAAAAGCUAAGUUUGUAAGGAAGUCAAAUUUCAUAGACAGCCAGGAGGUUGGCUUAGAAGCAGCCAUCCUUUAAAGAAAGCGUAACAGCUCACUGGAGGACGAAAUUUGGCGCCGAAAAUGUAUCGAGGAUUAAGCUUUUUACCGAAGAUGGAGAUCCCGUCGCAAGACGGGGUGGUAGGGGAGCGUUUUUAGUGCAGUGAAGUCGAGCUGUAAGGCGAGAUGGAGCGCUAAUAAGUGAGUAUGCAGGUAUGAGUAGCGAGAUGCCGAUGAGAAGUCGGCACGCCGAAAACCCAAGGUUUCCUCCGCAAUGUAAGUCAGCGGAGGGUUAGUCGGUCCUAAGGGUGUCCCGUUAUUUAAGGCGGGGUAGCCCGAUGGAUAAGUCGUUAAAAUUCGACUACAAGAUAUGGAAUUCUGUAAGGGAGUGACGAGGGUGGAAGAGUUGAGCCGAGCUUGCUCGGUUUAAGUAGUAAGAUAGGAUGAAUUGGAAAAUCCGUUUGUCCGUUUAAUUAAGCUGCGAUGCAAAGUUUUUUCGCAAGAAAGGACAAUUCAAUAGCUUUCAGCCUCCGAGAAAAACUUCAUUACCUCCGAUUUUUAUCGGAGAAAGCCAUAUUUUUCCGUACCGCAAACCGACACAGGUGGGUUGGUCGAGAAGACUAAGGCGAUCGAGAGAAAGAUGAUCAAGGAACUCGGCAAUAAAUCUGGGCGUAACCUAUGGGAGAUGCCCUGUCCCGAUUAAUAUCGGGAUUUCAACAAAAGUUUACUUAGCGACUGUUUAUCUAAAACACAGGCCCCUGCAAAACCGAAAGGUAAAGUAUAGGGACCGACACCUGCCCAAUGCUGGUAAGUCAAUGAUCGCUGAGUGACCGUCGCAAGAUGGAAGCUUGGUAUCAAAGCUCCAGUGAAUGGCAGCAGUAACUAUAACUGUUCUAAGGUAGCGAAGCCCCUUGUCGGGUAAGUUCCGACCUGCAUGAAAGGUAGAACGACUAAGUAACUGUCUUGAUCAUCUACUCGGCGAAAUUGAGAUGGCUGUGAAGACGCGGCCUAGUUGUCCUUGGACAAAAAGACCCCAUGGAGCUUUACUGUAUCUUGGCAUUUGAAAGUUUAUGUCAACUGUUUAGAAUAGGAGGGACCCUGAGAGCAAUCGAAGGGGAAAGUGAAAUACCUCUCUUUGAAAUAGACAAUCAUUACCUCUUUGCCGCAAAAAAAUUCGGCAGAGGGACAGUGUCUGGUGGGCAGUUUAACUGGGACGGUUGACUCCUACAAUGCAACGGAGUUGUACAAAGGUUGGCUAGUCUUGGAUGGAAAUCAAGACGAUAGUGCAAACGCAUAAGCCAGCUUAACUGCGAGACCUACAAGUCGAGCAGAGACGAAAGUCGGUGUUAGUGAUCCUCCGAUGCUUAGUGGUAAGCACGGAGCUUAACGGAUAAAAGCUACCCUGGGGAUAACAGGCUGAUCGCUCCCAAGCGUUCAUAGCGACGGGGCGGUUUGGCACCUUAUGUAAUUAACAUCGGGGCGCCUAUAGAGUAAUUUAUAAGCUUGGUACUUCAUACUAUUUGAACCAAAUGGUAUUCAGUAUAAAUUUACUAGUUAAAAUCGGUGAACCCCUUCGCGAUUCGAACAAUCGCUCAGGGCAAUACCGAGGGAAUCCUUCGACACUUCGCACGUUCGUGCUUAGUGCUCAGGACCCGUAUCGACUUCCCCGCUUUUGCGGGGAGAUGGAAGUUCUGUUCUGCUUUGCAGAAAAUUUACAGCUUCCAUAAAAGACUAGCUCCCUCGUACUUCAGCACAUUAGUGCUUCAGUACUCGGGAUGAAGGUAUAGUCAAGCCUCUUGGUAACAAGAGGGUGCGUUCCGAUUGAAAUCGGAAUCGCGAUGUCGGCUCAUCGCAUCCUGGGGGUGUAGAAGCUCCCAAAGGUCGGGCUGUUCGCCCGUUAAAGCGGUACGCGAGCUGGGUUCAGAACGUCGUAAGACAGUAGACCUAUAGCGUUAAUAACGCUAUUAAAUGAGCUGUCUAU
RNAcentral lists this ribosomal RNA (3102 nucleotides) under Candidatus Levyibacteriota bacterium. RNAcentral's name for it is "23S ribosomal RNA". It matches the Rfam family "Bacterial large subunit ribosomal RNA". The record is from RNAcentral. Lineage: Bacteria; Candidatus Levyibacteriota.